This 253-nucleotide ribosomal RNA is filed under the name uncultured bacterium. Its description in RNAcentral is "partial 16S ribosomal RNA". It matches the Rfam family "Bacterial small subunit ribosomal RNA", at positions 524 to 776 of the family's 1533-position model. The record is from RNAcentral.
UACGCAGGGUGCGAGCGUUAAUCGGAAUUACUGGGCGUAAAGGGUGCGCAGGCGGCUCCGCAUGUCGGGCGUGAAAUCCCCGGGCUUAACCCGGAAAGGUCAGCCGAUACUGCGGGGCUAGAGUGCGGUAGGGGAGACUGGAAUUCCUGGUGUAGCGGUGGAAUGCGCAGAUAUCAGGAGGAACACCGAUGGCGAAGGCAGGUCUCUGGGCCACUACUGACGCUGAGAAGCGAAAGCAUGGGGAGCGAACAGG